GCUUGUCUCAAAGAUUAAGCCAUGCACGUCUAAGUAUAAAUGACUUUAUACUGUGAAACUGCGGAAGGCUCAUUAUACCAGUUAUAAUUAAUUUGAUGGUCUUGCGAUUUUAAUCGAUUGCUACAUGGAUAACCGUAGUAAUUCUAGAGCUAAUACAUGCACAAAAGGUCUGACUUGGGGGGAGCAGGUUUCGGCCUGUUCUUUUCGGGAAGGGCUGUAUUUAUUAGAUACAAAAACCAACUUUUUUUUCCCCUUCACGGGGGAGAGAAAAAAAAAGCUUGGUGAUUCAUAAUAACUGUUCGAAUCGCACAUUGGUUGCCUCCGAGCAACUGGCGAUAGUUCAUUCAAAUUUCUGCCCUAUCAGCUUUCGACGGUAGUGUUUUGGACUACCGUGGCUCUAACGGGUAACGGGGAAUUAGGGUUCGAUUCCGGAGAGGGAGCCUGAGAAAUGGCUACCACUUCCAAGGAAGGCAGCAGG
This 478-nucleotide ribosomal RNA is filed under the name uncultured fungus. RNAcentral describes it as "partial small subunit ribosomal RNA". It matches the Rfam family "Eukaryotic small subunit ribosomal RNA", at positions 30 to 432 of the family's 1831-position model. The record is from RNAcentral. Lineage: Eukaryota; Fungi.